Dromaius novaehollandiae (emu) is the source of this 1625-nucleotide long non-coding RNA. RefSeq lists it as uncharacterized. The transcript is spliced from 2 exons. The record is from RefSeq and is a predicted model, not a curated record. NCBI's taxonomy places the organism in Eukaryota, Metazoa, Chordata, Aves, Casuariiformes, Dromaiidae.
CGCGGCGGCGCCGCCUCCUGCCGCCAUGUGGGGAGCCGUUAGCCCGCGGCCACCUCCCGCCGCCCGCCGCGCAGGGUGGGGAGGGAGGCCCAGGGGCGCGACCCUGAGGGAAAGCAGCUGCUGGCUCCGCCAUUUCCCUCCCACCCCCUCAAACCAGUGAUAAAUGGGCACAAAUGUCGGCUCAGCCCCCUGCCUGCCCCUGCUGGGAGCGUGCGGACUGCUGCCCGCCACGAGGAGGUGUGAAAAGAGGCGCUUUGGGAGGAAAAACAAAACGGCGAAAGUGCCACCGCUGGCCUGAAACAGGUGCUGCAGGCAGCUUUCCUCCUUCAUAUAUGCUCAGAUGAUUUCUCUAAUCCUCUCAUUGACUUCAGAAGCAUUUUCUCGUCUCCCGACAUUUCCUACGAAAACGCUGUGACGGGUUCAAUCAGCUACCCAGUCUCUCGUAAAACUUCUCCAAGUUUAAUCUCGACCCACCUGAAGUCCAUCAUACGCCAGACUGUGCGUAAACUGGGAAAAGACAUUUUAACCUCAUCGCCUCACAAAGUUCACGAGUUAGGUUGCCUGUGAAACUAAAAAUAGCAACAGAAGUUCUGUUUUACAGCUUCUAGUAAUUUCCUUCUUUUUUUUCUCAUUCAUUUGGCCUCCUUUGAGCUCACCUUCUUGUUCCCGUUCUAGGCUGUACUUUAGUGCAUGAUGAGACAAACUGAUAAAAGAUCCAAGUUUUAACAAAAUCUAAAAGCUUCAUCUAAACCUUGUACGAGUGCAGACCUGGGAGGCAGGAGAAUUACAGGCAAGCAUCUUUGUAGAUUGCCUUCAUAACUGGGAACCUAAAAAGCGUAUUUUUCUUCUUCAAAUCAAACCGAUUAUACAGUUUUGAGACAGCUGGAACUGAAUUUUGCCACUGAAUUAGUUACGGCGCCGCAGCUGAGCAGGGAUUUUAUGAUAUUUACAGUUCUUGGAGACGUGCCGUUUGUGUUCCUUGAGGCCUGUAUGGGGUUGGUUUUAUGCAGUUCUAUAAAAGCCAAUUUGGGCGGAAAAAGAAGCGAAUGACAUUUAACGCUGCAAAGAAAGCAAACGGAUACUGCUAUAGAGGGAUGGCUGACGUGGCUAACAGGGUAAAGCACGGUAGAAAUGUGGCUUUGGGUACUAUUUUUUAAUGUAUAUUGAGAACAAAGGAGCCGUGAAAAUAACGUUGCUCCAUCGCAUGAUACAGCAAAGUUGACAAUAAGGAGGCAGAAAAGGUUGAUACAAUCAAAUAUUUCUGUACUGCACUUGGGGAAAAAGACAAAUAUUGCAGACAGAUCACAUGAUGAAAUACUUUUCCACAGUUCUUAAGCAAAUAUUUGUCAAAUAGCAGAUACAAUGUUUUUGCUUUAAAGCAGAUAGCUAAUUGAAUAUUUCUCUUCUCAGUUACUGAUAUGAAUAGAUUUGAAGUAUUGAACAUCUUCCGAAUAAGAAAACUAAUGCUACCUAAUGUUUAGAAAGAACUAAAUGAGGUGGUUCGGUAACAGAAUGUUGAUCCCAGGCAGAUCCCAGGGAAGUAACUGAAUGUUGGUAUAUACAGGUUCACUUAUUGCUUUAAUCAACCCUACGCAUGGGUUUAUGGAAUAAAUAUCAAAUCAACC